GCACAGGUCCCUUUUUUCACAAACCUAAUUCCACACCUAAGUGGUAAGCAACUGAUAAACUGAAGACGUUGGGAGUCCAGGUAUAGAAUGAAGGGUGCUGUAGCUUUGCUGGUGUUGCUGUGCAGCGGUCUGACUGCGGCUACGAUUACAACCCCAGAAAACGAAGACAAAAACUGCCCGUCUGUCAUGUGCGACAAGCAAGAUUGAAGUCCUGGAGAACCGGCUUGCAGCUGCUGAGCGCCAGGUGGAGACACUGAACGCUAAAGCAGAAACGAAGGUGGCGUUCUCAGCUGGAUUUGGGGGUACUGGAUACUAUGGACCUUUCAAUGUUGACAAAACGCUUGUCUACGAAAAGGUCUACACCAACCUUGGCAACGCUUACAACCCGGCAACAGGCAUCUUCACAGCGCCAGUGGCAGGAGUCUAUCACUUUAGCGUCUAUCACCAUUCAGGACCAGGUCGCCGCUCAGACUCCAUGCUGUACAAGAACAAAGAACAAAUCGUAUUUAUUUCUGCUAUGAACAAGGACUGCUCCUACAACGGAUCUAAUGGUAUCAUACUGCAGCUGGAGGAGGGAGAUGUGGUAUAUGUUGUUUUGAAGGAUAAUUCAUGGAUCUGGGACCAUGUGAGCCAGGGUGGUGCCAAUGGAUGGUGCCACUUCAAUGGCAUUUUGCUGUUUGCUCAAUAAACCUCAGCGGAAUAUGUACAUACUGUUGCGUAAUAUUUUACCAGAGAAAGUCCAUAGAAAACCCUUCUCAAAUGGUUUUCUGCAUAAAUCAUACUGUUUUUUUUUUGCUUCUUAUGUGCUUCUAACAUACUGAAAGUUUAUCAUUGGCAGUUGAUAGUAACAGUUAAACAACAUUUUGACGUGUCACAUUUCAACAACUUCAAUGGCAUUCUGCUAUUCCCUCAGUAAUGUGUUUGUUUGUUCCUAAACGUCGCGGUGUCUCUUUCCCAUCAGCCUCUCGCAGCUCAUGAGAUGAUCCAAGUAGGACCGAGAACAAAAAGAAGGUCAGUCUAGGGGCUCAUCAAUUCAAUCUGGAUCUCUGACGUUAAAUCCUUGACAGAUAGUCUGAUCUAAAUGUAGGUCUGUGUUCAAUCUGACUACUUUACAGAUAGUCUGAUCUAAAUGUAGGUCUGUGUUCAAUCUGACUACUUGACAGAUAGUCUGAUCUAAAUGUAGGUCUGUAAUCAAUCUGGAUCACUGAGGCGUUACAUAUUGCACAAUAGAAACAGUGUGCAACACAGCACCAACCAAACCCCUCUCUGUUCUCUCUGUACCAGGCCUAGGAAAGGCCCCAUGUUGUCUGUCUCCCCCCCCCCCACAGUCCUCUCUCUACCAGGCCUAGGAUAGGCCCCAUGUUGUCUGUCUCCUCCCCCACAGUCCUCUCUCUACCAGGCCUAGGAUAGGCCCCAUGUUACCCAUUUUAAGCACCCCCAAAAGCAAAUUCGAACGUAUGGUUAACAAGUCCUCGAUUUAUACCUAUUAUAGGUUAGUCUGUACAUAGGAGAGGAAAAAAACAUAUUCAAAAUAACCUCACCAGAAAAGAAGAACAGACACUCAAUGAAAUAAUGAAAGAUCCAUCUUUGGUUAUUCAACUUGCAGAUAAAGGGGGGUGCUGUGGUUGUUUUAGACUAUGACAAAUACAAAGAAGAGAUUCAGAGACAACACGGUAAUGAACAGUUUCCAUAGAAAACUGAGUGUUGAUCCCACAUCUGUAUGUUUCAAAAGGGAUGUGCUCUAAUCUGUGAACAAGCUCUAUUAAACAACCUUAUCUCAAAACCUGAAUAUAAA
This is a long non-coding RNA of Salvelinus namaycush (lake trout), 1795 nucleotides long. RefSeq lists it as uncharacterized. The record is from RefSeq and is a predicted model, not a curated record. Lineage: Eukaryota; Metazoa; Chordata; Actinopteri; Salmoniformes; Salmonidae. The transcript has 4 exons.